RNAcentral lists this unclassified non-coding RNA (324 nucleotides) under fungal sp. RNAcentral's name for it is "partial internal transcribed spacer region". The stretch from base 1 to 46 matches the Rfam family "Eukaryotic small subunit ribosomal RNA", at positions 1786 to 1831 of the family's 1831-position model. Lineage: Eukaryota; Fungi. The record is from RNAcentral.
AAGUCGUAACAAGGUUUCCGUAGGUGAACCUGCGGAAGGAUCAUUAACACGAACUUUCUUUAUCCAACAAACAAACCAAACGUGAACUUUUUGAAAUUUCUCCCCAUAUUUCUCUCUAGAGAUAGCGAGGAAUCUGGGCUAUCUUUUACUCCUUUCCGAGUAAAAUUUUUCUUUUUCAACCCCUUUUUCACUUAAACUUCUUAGAUUUGCGGCCUAACGGCGGAAUCUUUCUACUAAUACUAAGUGCAGCGCUGUGUUUCAGUGUUGCCUUGGCUUCUUAUGAAAUAGUAAGAACAACUCUUAACAAUGGAUAUCUUGGUUCCC